This 495-nucleotide ribosomal RNA is filed under the name uncultured bacterium. Its description in RNAcentral is "partial 16S ribosomal RNA". It matches the Rfam family "Bacterial small subunit ribosomal RNA", at positions 28 to 507 of the family's 1533-position model. The record is from RNAcentral.
GAUGAACGCUGGCGGCGUGCCUAAUACAUGCAAGUAGAACGCUGAAGGAGGAGCUUGCUCUUCUGGAUGAGUUGCGAACGGGUGAGUAACGCGUAGGUAACCUGCCUGGUAGCGGGGGAUAACUAUUGGAAACGAUAGCUAAUACCGCAUGACAACAGUUAUUGCAUGAUAACUGUAUAAAAGGGGCAACUGCUCCACUACCAGAUGGACCUGCGUUGUAUUAGCUAGUUGGUGAGGUAACGGCUCACCAAGGCGACGAUACAUAGCCGACCUGAGAGGGUGAUCGGCCACACUGGGACUGAGACACGGCCCAGACUCCUACGGGAGGCAGCAGUAGGGAAUCUUCGGCAAUGGACGGAAGUCUGACCGAGCAACGCCGCGUGAGUGAAGAAGGUUUUCGGAUCGUAAAGCUCUGUUGUAAGAGAAGAACGAGUGUGAGAGUGGAAAGUUCACACUGUGACGGUAUCUUACCAGAAAGGGACGGCUAACUACGUG